RNAcentral lists this long non-coding RNA (1489 nucleotides) under Sus scrofa (pig). RNAcentral describes it as "lncRNA (ENSSSCG00015051632.1)". Lineage: Eukaryota; Metazoa; Chordata; Mammalia; Artiodactyla; Suidae. The record is from RNAcentral.
UUGCUAGGUAUCUGCCCCCUUUGGAGCCGGCUUGCUCUGCCUGUAGCUGUGAGGAGGAGGAGAUUCUGGGGACCCAGUCCUGGCUGCCACUGGUGGGGUGGGAGUCUGAAAGCUCAGGUGGGUCCCAUCUCCCUACUCCCAACACUACCUCCCUCCCACCUUGCUCCCAGGCAGUUCUGGAGGAGGCUCCCCUUUGCAGGCGAGACAGCGCCUUUCCUGGCUCCUCCUUUGCUCCGUGCAGCUGGUCCCCUAUCCCCUGACCUCCACCCCAGAGCACUUCUGGAGAGAGCCAGACCUCAGGCGGCUGCUCCAGGAAGCUGGAAAGGGAGGAUGGAAGGGCCUGGAAGAUAAAUUCCUGCCGCUCACAGAGCUACCAGGGGAGGCCCUCGAGGAAGGGACGCAGACGCCCAAGACACAUGCAGUCUGUGAAGAGUGAUGGGCAAAGCAUCCCAGGGGCCAGUGUCAUUGCUACUGUUCUCAUCUCACAUUCCUGUCUUGGGUCUUUGAACAGCCAACAACCACAGCUGUUGUCCACUGCGGUGGCUAGGAGGACAACACACAUUUCCUCACUUACCCCUCAGUACAACCCCAUGAGGCGGGCAGUAUUUGUCUUCUCACUUUACAGAGAGAAAACUGAGGCUUCCUAAGGCUGAAUAACCACAGACCUGGCCAAGAGGAGAGCCAGGGUCAACCCCCAGGGGCUCUGGCCAGAGACUGGGCUUUGCGUCACCACCAUGGAGGUUGAUGGUCACUCUCUCUGAGCAUCUCUGUGGAUUGACCUGGGCCUCUAAGCGGAAAGAGAGCCCCAGACCAAUAGGUCUGAAGGUUCCUGGGCCCCAGGGGAGCUGCUUGUGCACCCAUGGGGCCAUCAAAGGAAAACAGGAAGCAAGAUUUCCUCCUACACAGGUUUCUGGUGGCACCGCUUCCAGGGGCUCCUAGGAGAUCCUAUUCUGAAAAGCGGCAGGACUGGCUCCCCAGCCUGUCAGCUAGGACUAACACAUUCUCCAAACUUCUGGACCUGUCGCUCAACAGAAGUUGCCUGGGAACUCUGAGAGGUGUUGUGGGGCCAAAGGAGGGAAAAGCACCAACCCUCAGAUGGCUUGCAGGGAAGCUGGGAGAUGCUCAAAGUACCAUCCUGUUGGGAGAAGAACAUACCCAGCAUGUGAGUAAGUGCUGAGCUAUAUGGCACCACGCUCCCCUGUGGUUCUUUGCAGGGUAGGUGUUAAAUGCAUGGGGAGGUCACCCACAAGGUCGAAAAAAGGGAGGGGAGGGAGUUCCCAUCGUGGCGCAGAGGAAACAAAUCCAACUAGGAACCAUGGGGUUGCGAGUUUGAUCCCUGGCCUCUCUCAGUGGGCUCUAAGACUGACUUGUGUUCACAAGGAAUGUUUGAGAAACACAGCUUGAAAGGCCAAGGAUGCCCUGGCAGACUAGCCAGUCAGAUCUUCCUACUGUUUUACACACCAAAUAAACCAGAAAAGGCAAAUUAACA